CCAGCAGUGGGGAAUAUUGCACAAUGGGCGAAAGCCUGAUGCAGCCAUGCCGCGUGUAUGAAGAAGGUCUUCGGUUUGUAAAGUACUUUAAGUGGGGAGGAAGGGCAUGAAGUUAAUACCUUCCUUUUUUGACGUUACCUACACAAAAAGCCCCGGCUAACUCCGUGCCAGCAGCCGCGGUAAUACGGAGGGUGCAAGCGUUAAUCGGAAUUACUGGGCGUAAAGCGCGCGUAGGCGGUUUGUUAAGUCGGAUGUGAAAGCCCCGGGCUCAACCUGGGAAGUGCAUUGGAAACUGGCAAGCUUGAGUGCGGAAGAGGGGGGUGGAAUUCCAUGUGUAGCGGUGAAAUGCGCAGAGAUAUGGAGGAACACCAGUGGCGAAGGCGACUUCCUGGACUGUUACUGACGCUGAUGUGCGAAAGCGUGGGGAUCAAACAGGAUUAGAUACCCUGGUAGUCCACGCCGUAAACGAUGUCUGCUAGGAGGUUGGGGGCUUGAGGCCUUUAUUGCUGAACUUACGCGUUAAAUCGACCCCCCGGGGAGUACC
RNAcentral lists this ribosomal RNA (544 nucleotides) under Pseudomonas sp. Its description in RNAcentral is "bacterial SSU rRNA". It matches the Rfam family "Bacterial small subunit ribosomal RNA", at positions 348 to 884 of the family's 1533-position model. Lineage: Bacteria; Pseudomonadati; Pseudomonadota; Gammaproteobacteria; Pseudomonadales; Pseudomonadaceae. The record is from RNAcentral.